This 253-nucleotide ribosomal RNA is filed under the name uncultured bacterium. RNAcentral describes it as "partial 16S ribosomal RNA". It matches the Rfam family "Bacterial small subunit ribosomal RNA", at positions 524 to 776 of the family's 1533-position model. The record is from RNAcentral.
UACAGAGGUCCCAAGCGUUGUUCGGAUUCACUGGGCGUAAAGGGUGCGUAGGCGGUCGGGUAAGUCUGACGUGAAAUCUUCAAGCUUAACUUGGAAACUGCGUCGGAUACUAUUCGGCUAGAGGAAUGGAGGGGAGACUGGAAUACUUGGUGUAGCAGUGAAAUGCGUAGAUAUCAAGUGGAACACCAGUGGCGAAGGCGGGUCUCUGGGCCGAUACUGACGCUGAGGAGCGAAAGCGUGGGGAGCGAACAGG